UUUUUUUUUUUUUUUUUUUUUUUGGUUUAGUAGUGGGGAGAGAGUUUGUUUGGAUUAUAUGUAUUUACAUGUGAAAUCAAUCUGGGUUCCUGAAAAAAAAAAAAAGAGAAAUCAAUCUGGGAAUUUAUGGAUUGCAGUUGUGGCGCCAGGAGGCACGGGCAAUCAAAAUCUAUCUACCUACCUAUUACUCCCUCCGUCCCACUUUAAUAGUUCUAUAUUUCUUUUUCAUCUGUCCCAAAUUAUAGUCCACUUUCCAAUUGAAAAAUAUAGUUAUAUUUUAAUUUUCCUAAAAUAUCCUUAUUCAAUGCAAGUAGUUGUUACUAUAAACCUAACACAUUUAAUGAGAGUUGAUUCUUUUUUCACCAUCAAUUCAAGUUCUCAUAAAGUUGUACCAUAUUUAAUGUGAGGGUAUUUUAGGAAAAUAGCAAUCUAAAUUUACUUUUCUAACAAAAUUAAUUACUUUUUUUUAAAUUGUGUGAAAAAAGAUACAGGACUAUCAAAGUGGGACGGAGGGAGUAUAUAAGAAAGAAGCGAGAUUACUGUAGCAGUCUCUAUGACUGUCAAAUGGCUCCCAUUUAGUUUGACAUGUGGAUCAUUAAUCCUUUGAAGAAGCUAUCUAUAUUAUUUUUCCUUUUUCUUUUGGUUUUCUUUUUUCCCUCAUUUCUUCUUUCCUUUUUGGCAAAAGACAACAACCACAAGAAUCUUUAUCCUUAUCUACACUAUCACUUGCACGUUCAAUUUUCACUCUGUUCUCUUUUCAUUUUUUUUCUCUUUUUUUUGCUUCACCCUAAUCGUUUACUCUGCUUUUGUUUUUUCUAUUGAAUUAGUUGAUGCAUUUUUUUUUCAAAAUUUUCAUAAUUAACUAAAUGAAUGGUUUUUGUUGUUGGAGUGGAUGAGGGAAGACAGCAAUUUUUGUUGAGGGAAGCUAACAAUUUUUCCUCAAUUGAAAUUCAUUCCAAUUUUAGUUUUCAUUUAUUAAAAUUGUUAUUUAAUAAUAGGCUAAUAGUGCUGGAAUGAAGGAGGAAGAAUUUGACAAGUGAAGAUCCAAGAUAAAUGAUGACUAGGAAGGAAAUAGAGAGGUCUAUUUUUUAGUGAGAUUACUGUAGCAGUCUCUAUGACUGUCAAAUGACUCCCAUCUAGUUUGACAUGUGGCUCAUUAAUCAUUUGAGAAAGCUAUCUAUAUUUUUUUCCCUUUUUCUUUUGGUUUUCUUUUUCCCUUCAUUUCCUUUUUCCUUUUUGGCAAAAAACAACAACCACAAGAACCUUCAUCCUCAUUUAUACUAUCACUUGCACGUUUAAUUUUCACUCUGUACUCUUUUCAUUUUUUUCCUCUUUUUUUUGCUUCGCCCUAAUCGUUUACUCUGCUUUUGUUUUUUCUAUUGAAUUAGUUGAUGCAUUUUUUUUUAAAAUUUCCAUAAUUAACUAAAUGAAUGGUUUUGUUGUUGGAGUGGAUGAGGGAAGAUAGCAAUUUUUGUUGAGGGAAGAUAACAAUUUUUCCUCAAUUGAAAUUCAUUCCAAUUUUAGUUUUCAUUUAUUAAAAUUGUUAUUUGAUAAUAGGCUGAUAGUGCUAGAACAAAGGAGGAAUAAUUUGAAAAGUGAAGAUCCAAGAUGAGUGAUGACUGGGAAGGAAAUAGAGAGGUCUAUUGAAUUUAAAAUUAAUCAAAGUCUGUUAAUUUAUAGAUAGAUAAUUAUAUUUCCAUAUUUUGAUUUAUUUAAAAUUUCUUAAUAGCGACAAAUGGUUAUUUACUAGAUGAGAACGAUGAUAUGUAAAGGAAUUGUUAGGGCUACUAACUUAGGAUAUGAAUAAAAUAUUUCGUAUAAUCUCUUCAUUUUGGGUUACUGACUUGUAUCCAUGAUAGGUGGUUUAUUUUCAUAGUAUGAUAGUUUGAGAAGACAAGAAGUGCAGAAUUAGAUUUUAAAAUCAUUUGCUUAAGUUGGUUCUAUGAAUUUGUUUUUUUUUUUAUCACUUUUAUUGUCCUAAUGAUAAUAUAAGGUAGAUGUGGAACUGGAUAUAUCAUGACUAUUUGGCUGAAGUAGUUGAUAAUUUUUUAUAAACUCAAGUAGCUGAAUUGAUUGCUGUUGUUAAGGAAUUGCAAUUAGUGGUGGAAGUCAAAAUUGAGACUUUUAACCUAGAGAGUGAUUUGACAAAAAAUUUGUUAAAAAAUUCAAUCUUGAUUAAUAAGAUAUUUUUGCGAUCAAAUAAAUGGUUGGUUUCGAAUUUGUACAUGUACAUUUGCAAACAUGGCAGUUCAUAUUUUUAUCUAAUAUUGCUAUUUGUAUUCUCAAACUGUUUGGCAGAUAAUGUUAUCACCUAUUUGUAAUGCUAUUAAAAAGGAUUUAAAUGGAUGGAUUAACAACUCGCCUUUUCUCUAAAAAAGACAAAAAAACAAUGUGUAGGUUUGUAUGUUUUGAAAAGGAUAGAAAAAUAUGCAAGUUUGUAUGUUUUAUUGAUGUUGAAAAUUGUGACAGAUCUUGGCAAUUUUCUAAACUUUUUUCUAAUUAUUAAACUGCUAGAAGUAUUAUGACUACUUUUGGUUUAGUCACAAUUAAAGCUAUGCUGCCAUUAAAUUGGCAAUGUAGUGUACUUAUUAUCUCUCCUUUUUUUGGUAUUAUUAUGCACACAUAGAAUUGGUUCAAAAAUCUUUGUCCAAAUCACAAUAAAUAGCAGACUAACUUCAUAAACGAAAUUUCUCUUCAUAGCAAAUUUUAAUUGUUUUGAUGCUCAAAAUUUCUCCUGUAUUUACCAAAAAGAUUUAUUGCUCUAUGUUUAACUAAACUUCUAAGGGGCACAGCACGGCCAAGAUACAUCUACUAGUAGUAUAAAUAUGGUGUAGAAAACAAAAUGUAUUAGUGGACUGAGAUUUUUUUUCCUUUUUAUUUAACCAAAAAUUUUUUUUUUUUACUUUUUCUGUUGUCAUGCUUUUGGGGCAGGUUAUAGGGUACCCGCCCUUAAAAAAAAUAUUUUCCAAUAAAAAAUAUUUUUCAUUUAAUAUCAAUAUGUUUUCCAAUAAAAAAAGUAUGCUUUCCAAUUAACAUUGGUAGAGAUAUUAUAAUCAAAAUCCAUGCAUCACCAUUCUCACACAUUUCAUCCAAUAAUCAAACCGAUUUCAUAAAUUUAGUACAUAUUAGAAUUAUAAUAUCUAAUAAAUAAAAUGAAAUUUUAUGAUAAUUUAGAGUACAUCAUCAUUCUCAGGCAUUUCAUCCUCUACAACAUAACAAACACAAGAAUAAUAAGUAUAUGACAACUUUUCCAAGUAUAACAAACACAAGGAUAAAACGAAGUUUUAUAAUAAUUUUGAGUACAUCACCAUUCUCACGCAUUUCAUCAUUUUACAACAGAACAAACACAAGGAUAAUAAGUAUAUGGCAACUUUUCCAACUUCCUUAAGGAUGUUAUGGUACAAGAUUGCACUUAAAAUGAGUCGAUUGUGGAAUCAUGUCCGGAAAGAAAUUGAACAGAGCUAAUAAUUUUUGAAGAAAGUAUAACCAAAAUAAUCUUGAAAAAUUUUCUCCAACUUUUACCAAAAUAAUUUUGAAAAAUUUUUUCCAACUUUUUUACAUCUUUGGAAUAGGCCUUUUGCAUUAAAGGUGAUGAAAAGAAAAAUAAAUUUCUUGCACUAAAAUAAAGGAGACAAAUUUAAGAGACACAAUUGCAAUAAAAUAAAUAAAUAAAUGAAAGACACAAAUUCGAUUUGAGUAUUCAAAUGGGUGAUAGGUGGAAUAAUGUCUAUGCAAGUUGGAUUUUGAGAUUUUGCCUGAUUAUAAUUAAUCUAGGUCAGUUGCUUGGAAUCCAUCUGAGAUUGUUAAAAAUCUGGAAUAUUGUCAAUGACUUUAAUGGUAGAUAAGUGGUGUUUUGUAGAAAGAAAGGGGUCAAUUAGACAUUGAAACUUAGGUUCUACAAAUCACAAGAAUUACUAGAGAGCAUAUUGCACCAAGGUUCAUUUGGAGGUUGUUUUGUCAUGAUUUAGAUGAAUUGUGCAGAUUUUUGUCCUUUGCAGGCAAAUAUAGGACUCUCAUGUAAUGUAGUUGCAACUUGACGUUUGAUUUGAGUAUUUAAAUGAUGGGUGGUGGGUGGAACAGAGUAUAUGCACAUUGUAUUGGAUUCUGUGAUUUUGUUUGGAUUCUAAUUAAUUUCAGUGAGUUCCUAGGAAUCUAUUUGGGUUUGUAAAAAAUCUGGAAUGUUGUCAAUGACUUUAAUACGUGGUGCUUUUGGAGAAAAGAUAAAAGGUUAAUUAGAAACCGAAACUUAGGUUCUGGAAAUCCCAAGAAUUACAAGAAAGCAUGUUGCACCAAGGUUUAUAGGUUGGUUUUUUACGAUUCUAUAAGGUUAAUGGCAAAGAGUAGCAAGAACACACUAAAGUUUAGUUUGAAAUUUUUUAGACUGUAUAUCCUUUGCUGGUAUAUAUAGGACUCGUAUGUAAGGAGGUUGCACUUUGGGAGGAACAAAGUGUACGUGCAUCUUGUUGCAAACUAAUUGAUUACUUGGAAUUUAUUUAUGAGUUGUUAGAUAUUUGGAGUAUUGCCUAUGAAUUUUACAAGCAAUUAGUAGUGUUCUGGUUAAAUAGGUGGAGAAAAGAAAAAUAUGUUUGAGAAAUCCCAAGAAUUACAAGUAUUGCCACAAGGUUCAUUUGGAAACAUUUUUUAGAAUUCUACAAGGCUUAAGGUAACCAGAACUUUCCAUGUUUAGUUAGAAGUUUGCUGUGUUAAUUGUGCAGAGUUAGUUCCUUUGUAGGCAUUUAGAGGAGUCAUAAACAAGGAUAUUGCACUUCGGGAUUUAAUUGAUUGGCCUGAUGGUGACACAAGGAAUUGAAUAUCGCAUCUUUUGGAUUCUGUCUAAUUUAAUUGAUUGGCCAGAUGGUGACACAAGGAACUGAAUAUCGCAUCUUUUGAAUUCUGCCUAAUUUAGGUGAGUUACUUGGGAUUUAUCUACUGGUUUGUUACAAAUUUCGAGUAUUGUCAGUAAUUUCAUGGUAGAAGUAGUAUUGAAUUGAAAUAGAUGGACAAAAAAGAAACGGUAUUUAGAAUCAGAAAAAUGGUAUAUAGACAAGGAUGAUUAGAAGUUUGAGUUGUGUGGAGUUUUGCCCUUUGCAGGCACAUAUAGGACUCUUGUGUAAGGACAUUGCACUUUAGAGUAUCCGUUGAAUACUCAAAUGGUGAUAGGAGGAACAAAGUAUGUGCGCGUGCUAUUGGAUUCUAAUUAAUUUAGGUGAGUUGCUUGGAAUUUAUUUCUAGGUUGUUAAAGUUUGGCGUAUUGUCAUUGAAUACUAUGAUAGAUUACUGGUGUUCCGGUUGAAUGGAGAAAAGAGAAAAGGUCAUGUAGCGCAGAAACUUAGGUUCAGAAAUCCCAAGGAUUACAGGCAGGCAUAUUACAGCAACGUUCAUUUGUAGUUGCUUUUUAACCUUUGUGCAAGGCUUAAGGCAGAGAGCAACUACAACAUACCAAGUUUAAUUAGAAGUUUACUGGUGUCGUGCAGACUUAGGUAUCAAUUGAAUAUACAAAUGGUGACAGGAAGAGCAAAGUUUAUGUUGUAUCUUGUUGGUCAAGGUGAGUUUUUGGGAAUUUAUUUGUGGGUUAUUAAAUAUCUGGAGUAUUGCCAAUGAAUUUUACAGUUGAUCUAGUUAAAUAAAUGGAGAAAAAAAGAAAGGUUAUUUAAAACAGAAACUUAGGUUUGGGAAAUUCUAAAUCUACAUGUAAGAAUAUUGCAGCAAGGCAGUUUUUAGGUUGUUUUUUCUCCAUUCUGCAAGGCUUGAGGCAAAGAGUAACCAGAACAUACAAAGUUCAGUUGGAUGUUGUGCAGAGUUUGGUUCAUUUGCAAGCAUUUAAAGGACUCAUUCAUAUACAAGGACAUUUCACUUCUAGAUUUAGAUUGAUUGGUCCAUAUGGUAAUAUGAGGAACUAAGUAUUGCAUCUUUUGGGAUUCUUUCUAAUAUAGGUUAGCGGCUUGAAAUUUAUUUGUUGGUUGUUAAAUAUUUGGUGUAUUGAUGAUCAAUUAGUAGUGUUCUUGUUAAUUAAAUAGAAGAAAGAAAAAAGGUUAUUUAGUAAAGAAACUUAGCUUCGAGAAAUCCCAAGAUUACUACUAAGCAUAUUGCAGCAUAAUUCAUUUGGAGGCUUUUUUACCAUUCUACAAGGCUCAAGGCCAAGAGUGACCAGAACAUACCAAGUCUAGUUCAUAGUUUGUUGGCUUUCUGCAGAGUUUGGUUCCUUCGCAGGCAAUUUGGGAGGACUUAUAUUCAAGGACGUUGCAUUUUGGGAUUUAAAUUGAAUGCCCAGAUGGCAACACAAGGAACUUAGUAUUGCAUCUUUUUGGAUUCUAUCUAAUCUAGCUGAGCUACUUGGCAUUUAUCUGUGGGUUUGUUAAAAUCUGCAGUAUUACCAAUGAUUUUGUGGUAGGCAAGAAGUAUUGUGGUUUUUAGAAUCUGAAAGUGAACUUCUGCAACCAGAUUUACAAGAUAGCAUAGCACAUUGUAGCAAGGUUCAUUUCAGGUGAGUUGUCCAGAAUUUUGUCCUUUGCUGAAAAUUAUAGGACUUUUAUUUAAUGACAUUGCUCUUUGUCAUUUUUGGCAUUUUAGGUGAUUUGAUUCAAAACAGUUGUUACUUGUUUUUGUUUUUCCCAAGUAUAUAGUUAUUCUUGUGGCAUUGGAUAGUGAAAAUUUUUAAAUGCUAAAAGACCUAGGCUUCAUCUUAUUAAUCCUCAAAUGGUGUAAUUUGCUAAAAGAGUGUGAUGGGAUCAUGGGACCAUCGUAAUAGAGUGAUGGACCAUAAUGAAGGCAGUGGUACUCAGAGUGAGCGUGGAUACACAUCUAUCGUGAGUGUGAACAUUUUUAGUAUUACAUUCUUUUUUUUUUCUUCCUCGAAGGUAGAAACACACACACACACACACACCCGCUGCACUCAAUGAUGCAGGAAGCAUCGAGAAACUGGCCUAACAGAGCAAUCUAAGAGGGACUCAUAGAGAAACCUUAUCCAGUCAAUUGGUGACAGGAAGGGUUCCCAUGGACCUUAAACCUAGAGUAAAGAUCCCACGAUCUUUCAAUUUGGGAUGGUGCAAGCCCUUCGAUCUUUUGAUAGUAUUACAUUCACUUGUGGAGUUUUAAGCAUGCAAUCGAUUAAUCUUGAGUUUUUUUUUUUAACAUAUGAUUUUUCCACCCCUCCUCGCUCCCAGCUGUAGGAUUCGAACUCUGAAUUUGACAGUGAAAAACUCUUAUAGCUUUCCCCCUAUUUUGAGUGAAUGUGUUUUAGAACACUUUGUUUAGAAAUUAUCGUAGUGUGAAAGUAUUUUUGGACGAUUACUAUUUUAUCGUAUUAUAAAAAAUUAAAAACUUUCUAUAACAAUUUUUUGUUUUAUAGCUAUGUUGGUAUUAAAAAUGUGGUUAAUUUGUUACAGAAAAAAAUAAAAAAGCAAUUAACUUUAAAUAAGAGUUAGUCUUGACGCUACAUUAUCACGAUUGAAUUCGGUGAUACGUCAAUAAAAUUUGUUCAAAUUUUACACAUAUAACAUAUUUAAAAUCGUUUCAUAAACAUUUUUUUUCCAAAGUUUCACAACAGAAAUAGUAGAGAGCCAUUAAUCCUACCCACAAAUUGCAAAUAUGAGCAAAGGCUGGGGUUUCAUUGCAAAUUUGCAAUGGACGCGAUUCUUUGAUAAGCUCUCCGAAUCUCUCCACAGUCCCCAGCAUAAACCCUGAAUCUCCAAUCCCGCAUAAGAACAAGACAAUCCUCUGAAUUCCUAGAACCCUAGAUCCCACAAUGGCCCUUCGCCUUAAGCUCCGAUCAAUCUUGCUGCUUCAAAACCACCGCCGUUUCUCAACCUCAAUCCUAAAUCCCAACUCAAAUACCCCACUGACCAGCAAGGAAAAGUCUCGGGCGGCGCUCUCUCUCCUUCGGGCCGAGAAGAACCCAGAACGAAUACUCGACAUUUGCCGCGCUGCUUCGCUGACUCCGGAAUCCCAUCUCGACCGCGUCGCCUACUCCAAAGCCAUUUCCAAGCUUAGGGACUUAAAUUACUUCAAUGGGAUUCGGUCUUUUGUCGAGGAAUCCAUGGCCCGGCCCGAUAUGAAGUCCGAGAGAUAUAUUUCCCAUUUUGUUGUUCUGUAUGGGCAGGCUGGCAUGGUUGCUGAUGCACGCAAGACGUUUGAGGAAAUGCACGAGAUCGGUCUCGAUAGAACGGUAAAAACACUUAAUGCUUUGCUGUUUUCUUGCGUUUUAGCCAAGGACUACAAGGAAAUGAAGCGGAUUUAUAUGGAAUAUCCAAAAAUUUAUGGGAUUGUCCCGAAUUUAGAUACUUACAAUACUGUGAUCAAAGGGUUUUGUGAGUCUGGUGAUUCGAGUUCUUGUUACUCGAUAUUGGCUGAAAUGGGUAGGAAAGGGGUUAAGCCGAAUGGGACAACGUUUGGGACGAUGAUUGCGGGAUUUUAUGAGGAGGAGAAAUUUGAGGAUGUCGGUAAAGUGUUGAAGAUGAUGAAAGAAGAGCAUAGCAUAACUCCUGGGACUAGUAUUUAUAACAUUAGGAUUCAGAAGCUGUGCAAGUUAAAGAGGUGUAGGGAGGCAAAAGCAUUGUUUGAGAGCAUCUUGUCGAGAGGCUAUAAGCCGAAUAAAGUAACUUAUCAUCACUUAAUUCACGGGUUCUGUAAGGAGGGAGAUUUGGAGGAGGCAAAAGGGUUGUUUGAGAGGAUGGUGAAGAGUGGGAUUAAACCCGAAGGCGAAUGCUAUUUCACUCUGGUUUACUUCCUGUGUAGAGGUGAGGACUUUGAGGCUGCACUAAAGAUCUGUAAAGAGUGUCUUGCAAAGGGUUGGGUUCCAAAUUUCACGACUAUGAAGUUGCUUGUGGAGGGUCUGGCUAGCAUUUCAAAGGUCGAUGAAGCAAAGGAGAUUAUUGGGCACCUAAAAAAGGAGUUCUCAGCAUAUGCUGAUCGGUGGACUGAGAUUGAAGAAGGAUUGGCAAAGUAGACAGGAUGAACAUGGUAGUCUAUUGAAUCUGCUUCUGCAUCAUACGAUGAUCAUACUGAGACCAAGUUAGAAAUAAUUUGUACGUAAUUUUUGUCUGGAUAGAAUUGUAGUUUUCUACUCAGUUAUGGUAGCUCGACAAGUUUUGAUUUUGAUAAUUUUGUUAUGAUCAGUUGCGCAGUUUAUUAAGGUGUUUUAUCAAUUAAACUAACUCUGCUGGAGAUAUAUGGUACACAAAUGCAGUUCAACGUAUCAUAUUUCCUUUCGCAUACAUUUGGAGAUACGUUUCAAUAACAUGAAUGUACGUACCGGUGCUGCUUUUUUUAUGUAUUAGGCUUCAGACAGGCUCAAGGACUCAGAAUUUUCACGAGAUAUUAUGCUUACAGGCUCCAAUCGUACUCUCUGAUUGAUGUUAGUGUGGGCAUUAAUUAUGCUGAAUGUGGCAUGUGUAGGAUCAUGCAUUGCGAUUCGGGUGUUCUUUUCAGCUGAAUAAACAUUCGUGCUUCUCAACCAAAGCCUUUACUCUCGAGGAAUUCAAUGGCCUAUAACCUGCGGCUAGGUUUAUUAGAAUCUUACAGGACGAGCAUCAUUUGCUGAAUGAAUAAUCUUUUCGAGACAAGUGGUUCACAAAUGCCAGAAUGUCAGUUCAUUAUUACAAUCCUGGGUUACUUGUUCGCCAAAGAAAGAAAAAACCAGUCCCCUCCUUGUACCGCUUUCUGGGUGCAAUGUGCGCUUUUAUUGACAAGCUGCAAGUCUGAGAAUUGCAUACGAGCAUGAAUAUUAAUCUGUCAUCAAUUGUUGUAAAUUCGAGGCUAUAGCAAAAGGCGUAAAAAGUGUUUUAUUUAAAAAAAAUAAAAUAAAAUUUGGCGUUCUCAUGUACAAUGAUUCUGUUAAGUACAAAAAUACAUCUGAAGCAUUACUUUCUCUUCCAAAAGAAAGAAAGAAAAAGAUAAAAAAUAUACAAGAAAAGUGAACAUAAACUCAUGACUCUGUUUAAAAAAAAAAAAGCAAAAACACAAAAUUCCAGCUCUGCUUUUGCUCUGGACCAGAAAAGCACAUAAAUUUAGGCUACAACGAAGUUGCCAUUGACUUGGACCCGGUCUUUAGGUGUUGUAUUCCAUAUGCGGCUGUUGAACCGACAGUUGUUAGAGCAACCAACCAACUGAGAAGCAUGCCAUGUGUUAUUCCGGUGUAAAAUGACACAAUUCUACUACAUGAAAUGCCAAACUACUUCCCCAAAGUAAAGUACCUCAGAUAUGUAAUGUAUGACUGUGUUUCCUCGCUACCAAAUUCUGGUUGCAGAAGAGCUGCAGCAACUAGGACCAAUUGGAGAACUGUGUUCAACUGUCAACAUAUAUAUCAGAACUUAGCUAAAAAGAAAUAAAAUUUAUAUUUAGGAUGAAUCAAGUGAGCAAUAUACAGCUGAUCCAAUACAGUCAUCCUAACAAUUUCCCGCACGUCCUCUCAUGAUAUUAGUGUGCUAAGUAAUCACUAGAAGCAGAUCCCGACUCAGUUAGCUUCCUCUUUUCUUUUUUCCCUGCUUAAAAUGACCUUGGUUUGCCACUGAAAACAACUUACUAACAUGCAGAUAGAGAUUUCAUCUUUUAGUUAUGAGAAACCCAUCCUUCCCUCUUCCUAUCUCUUCUUGGCACAUUUAAAGAGGACAUGAAGAAGCAUAUCAAACUGCUCUCACUAAAUUGAUGGAUUUCUGAUUAUUGUGCUGCAUCUUUUUCACCAAGUACCCAGGCCUGAGAAAAUGAACAUACCUUGCUUAUCAAGAGAGGUUCAACUUUCUCAGGGCAAGUCCCAUCAAGGUUGAAGAAAUCAAACCAACUCUUCCACUGUUACAAGAAUUUAACUCAAUAGUGUCAAGCAAAGAUAGAGCAGCUUAGUCAUAAAGAGCUUCAGGUAGAUCUCCCUCACCUGCCAUUGCAAACUGCUAGCUCUUUUAUAGACUGCCCCGCCAACAAGGGCAACAUCACGCAACACAACAAGCGCAACAAGUCCGGCUACAAAAGAUAAAAGACCAAUUGAAUAAGUUUCUAAAGAAAGGAUGAUAUUAUCUUCAAAAAUUUAAUUUUAAUCCUAGAAAUUUCUCUUGUAUCAGUUGGCCAUAUAACUGGCAGACUUGCAUAAAUAUAUCUUUGACAAAGUUUCUAGCUCAAAAGGUGGACAUCUCUUUUGUAAAGAAAAUUAACAUCACACAAAGGGGAAUAUCUGACAUACAAUUAUUUGGUACUAAGUAUACAGAAAAUAAAUUACUAAUUGUUUUAGAAAAAGAAAAAGAGUAAUUUUUUUGUCACCACACUGUUACUUGCAAUGUUACCAAUGGCAUUAGAUAUUUGAUCAGUAGUUCUUCGAUUUAAAAAAAAUGACAAAAAAGGCACAUACAAGUAGGAAACCAAUUACACACUUACGGUGCAGAAGACCUUUAUAAACCAUGCCCAAAGCAACAGAUCCAAUUAGUACCUGCACCCAUGAAUGCAAUGAAAUACUGAGAAAAAUUACACUAACCAAGUAAUGCUGUGAAAAAGAUGUCACAUUCAUUUAUUAGAAGUGUAAGACAAAAGGAAAACAAUAUUAAAAUUUUUUAAUGUAAUCGGGCAGCCAAGAAAAAGUUGAUUAUUACCUUGUCAGCAAGAGGAUCAAGGUAGGAACCCACCACAGAAUUGAUUCCCAUCUUCCUGGCCAAGUAACCAUCUAGCUACAAAAUUGGAAAAAUUAGAAGAUAUUGGCAUCCAUCCAGCUACAAGGAAGAUUGGAAAACUUAGAAGAUAUUGGCAUCUCCUCGUAUCAAACAUCCAAUAAUGACAAGACUAGAAUUCCCAUACCCAAUCAGUCACACCAGAGAUACCUAGACCAACAAAUGCUGAAAGAUACAUUUCAUGGGUGAUCAUCCUGCAAAGUCAAUUAGAACAAUACUUUAUAAUGGCCAAAUAUACAAGACAAGUUGAAUAAUAGAACUGUUGGUUAAGAGCACAGUUGAAUAACUGAAUGUAGAGGUGACUGAAUAAGCAUCUUACUCCUAUAACACUAUUCCCACAUGCAAUGAUAAGCAAACUAGACUGAAAUACUAUAGUACCAACCCAACACAUCAUAUUUCAACUCUAUUUGCCAAAGCAAAUGCAAACACGCGCACAAAGAGAAGAUAAACCUUUCAAGGAUUCUAGUACAAGCAUGUUUAGGAGAUAAUAAUGGGAUACUCAGUGCUAAAAUUUUGGCUUAAACUGUUAUAUAAUGUUCCUCAAGGCCAUGUGCUAUCAUAAACCUGAUCAAGAAACAAACAAUAAAUAAAAGGGGGAAAAAAGGAGGAAGCAGCAAAACAAAACCCAGUAAUAGAGGAUUACUCACAUAUCCUCAUCGAGGAUCAGUAUUGCAGAAAACAAAGAUCACUAUACUACUUUUGAUUCCUAAUGUAGUAUGCAAAGGUACAUUGUUACUAAACAACCGAUAAAUGUUGUGCAGGUUCAUAAUCCAACAGUCAUUAUUGUCUUUCAAGGUUGCCUGAAGCCUGGACUGCACUAAGAGAUAAAUCCUAAUUUCUUAGAACGACCACUUUCUCAUGUAUGUUUAGCAACUAAAAUCCGACUAAACAAAUUAGCAAGCAGUAAAAUUAUGGACUUUUACAAAUUAAUAUUCUUUACUUCUCCAUCUUGUUCAAUUAUGCUUGGAUACAUCACAGAGAAAAGGUUGUAAUUGAGUUUUACCAUAAAGUUUUCAGCAAAAUGUGGUUUUUCCCCUUCAUUUCACCAUCAAUAUCGAAAGCACGUAAACAUUUUAUAUUUUCCGCAUGAAUCAAAAAACCAACAAACAUAUUAAAUUCAUGAAUUUAAAAAAAGGGCCAAAUUUGAAAAAGAAAUAUACCAUCCAAGCAGUGGGCCGGAGACUAAUCGACCGAAAGAAAUAAAAUUGGGAAGAUUCAAAUAGCUAUCAGUAACUUUGACCAGAGCAUCAGAAUCAGUAUGAUCAAGCUUGGACCCAUUAAAUCCCUCACUAUAUUUCUUCUCCUUGCUGUUUAAAUCCUGAAACCGUAGUUUGUACGUAAUAAUGUUAUUCAGGGCAUAUGGGACCCUGGGUGAAAGAUUGAGCAAGGCGACGUCGCAUUGGAGGUGAAGGGGAGUGGCGGAUUGAGAUAGCUUCCAAGGGGGCGACGAGAGAAAUAGAGGGCCAAAAGUGGACGAAGGGAUAGGAGGGAGAAAAUGGGGCCGAAGAAAAAAUGGGUUUUUGAUAAUGUUACUAUUGGAAUUGUGGGAUAUGUAGGACUGGGAACUGGAGCAGAGGGAGACGAAGGUUCUAGCAGAAGAAGAAACAGAAUUAGGGUUUUGAAGCGGGGAUUUCGUGGAUUGGGAAAUUAGGGUUUUAAGGAUUGAUCGGAAGAAGGCCAUGGCCGAUGAUGGUCAAGCAUUGUUUUUGCAGUUGCAGAAAGGUGGAAGGACAGUUUGGAGGUUAGGGUUUUACAAAGGGUUUUAGAGGAAGAAGAUGACACGUGGCAAGUUUACACGUGUUACAGUCAGAGGAGCGGUUUUCUUUUUUGGUUUGGAAAAAUUUUUCCUUUUUGGGUUUCAUUCUCCUGGCUGUGCUAUUUCAAUUGUGUUAUUUGAGAUACGGCUAAGUAUUUCUAUUUUGAGUAUAUUUCUUGGAGUAAAUAAUGAAGAGAGUAAAAUGCAGUUUUCAAACCCAAAGUCUAACCGUUCAGUAAUUUUGGUACUCAACCAACUAGGAGUAGAUGGCCACCAUGGAGAGAUUUAAAGCUUUUCUUGGAUGUAGAGGAAGAGAUUAUUUGCAUUCUAAAAAAUCUAGAAUUUCCUGAAAAAUUUCGCCAGCAGAUACAUAAACUGAUAGGCACCCGAAUGGGUCUGUGGCGGUUCAAUUUUCUUCGAAUUUCCCGUUUUGAUCCCUUUGGUCCUUCUUUCCCUAGAUAGGAGUAGUUGUAGAAUGGAAUGUAUUGUAUGAAAAAAAAAGAGUAAUUUUGAUACUCAAACUUCACAAAAACAAAUUUGGUAUCUGACGUUAUAAAAUUUAAUCACAAUACACUCAAUGGAAUUCUUCACAUUCAUUCCUACUAGAAAAAAAUACAUGCUGUGUAUGUCAACAAAAUUAUAAACCAAUAUCAAAAAAAUUGGAAAACAACACUCAAACUAGAUUCCAAAGAAAGUUUCAAAACCUAAUAUUGAACGAAAAGAUCCAAAGAAAAACCUUUCUAUAUCUUUGUGACACUUUUGACUUGACUCUCAAUAUUUUUCAAUAUUUUCGAAUAUUUUUAAAAUUUUGCUAACAUACACAUGAUAGGAUGUGACUUUUUCCAAUAGGAAUUUUAAAAAAAAAUUUCCAUCAAGUGAAGUAUGCUUAAAUAUUAUAAUAUUGAGUACCAAAUUUGUUUUGAAAUAUAUUCUCUCUAAAUGAAAAUAUUUUUCUCUCUUUUUUUUUUUGCUUUGUCAACAAAUGUUACUAGGAACUACAUAAGAACAAUCAAAUAAAUUUGAUAGAUGAAGUUAUUGUUGUCCAAUAAAUAUAUGGGUUAUGGUAUGACGGGGUGUGGAUUUAACCCCUCUCGUUCAAAUACGGCAUGUUUCAUAAUUGAAUGAGCAAUUUAUUUAUCAAUGAAAGUAUAGUUUAUGUUGGUUUGGAACACCACAUGAGGUAUUCUUAGGGCUGCAAAUAAACCGAAUCGCUCGCGAAACUCGACUCGAGCUCGAACUCGAGUUCAAAAUAUUAAGCUCGAAUAUAUAUAUAUAUUUUUUAUUUUAAGUAUAUAUAUAUUUUUUAUUUUUUAUUUUAAGUGUAUAUAUAUUUAUUUUAAGUAUAAAAUUACAUAUAUAUCCUUAAUAUUUUAUUAUUUAUUAAGAAAAAAUAUUAUUUUAUUUAUUUUUUUAAAAAUAAAAUAAUUAUUUUUUUAUUUUUUUCGAGUUCGAGCUCGAGCUCGAGCUCAAUAAAAUUAAAUCAAGACUUGGCUCGAUUAGACCAAAACUCGACUCGACUUGACUCGUUUGCAGCCCUAGGUAUCCUUUUCUCUUGGUUGUAUGGGAUUUAGUGAUGAUUUUCCAUAAACGAGAACUGAGAAGCACCCAUUUAUUCUGCUUACCCAUCCAAUGCCAAGAAAGGAUUUAGUCAACUUUGCAAUAACUUGGUCAUAUUCAUACGAUAUAUCUAUAAUAGGAAAAAUUCUUCAAAACAUCCCUUAGAUUUCGUCAAAUAAAUUUUUUUUGUCUUUUAUUUUUAAAAUAAUAAUUUUCCAUCCCUUAUAGAAUCAAGUUGAUAAAAUUCGGCCCAACUUAAGUUUUCAACCAACUUUUAUUUUGAACCCACUCACACAUGAUCAUUUUUUCAGAGGCAAAAAGGUUUUAUCUCAUAUAUAAUUAAAUAAAUGGUUUAAUCCGUUGGUAUUUUUAACCCUAAAAAAGUAGGAUAUAACCCAACUUAUAUUCAUUUUUUUUCUAAAAAAUUGAGAUCUGACCUAAUCCAUAUUCAUUUUGCCACUAAAAAAUUGGGAUGUGAUGUGACCUUUUUGUACAUGAAAAAUGACUGCAAGCUGGUCUGUAGUAAUUUUAGGCUCAAAAGCGAUCGAAAAUUUAGAAUGGGAUCAAAUUUUGCUAAUUUGAAUUUUUAAGGGACAUAAAGUUAAUAUUUUAAAAAUAAAGGUUAAAAAAAAUCAUUUGACAAAAUAUGAGGGAGGUUUUCAACAAUUUCCAUUUAUAAUAUUCUCGUUUAUAAUAUUCCGCUUAUAAUAUUCUCGUACUUCUCUACCCAAGACUUUAACGAAUAUAACGGGCUUCCAAGUCAUUAGCUGCCUGAAAGUAGUUACUUCCACGACCCCAAUUGAGUUUCUUACCAAAUCUUCUUCCAACACUUUUUUUUUUCUUUCUUUUUUCCUGUGAAUGAACAACCUUCUUUAAGUUCAAAAACAAUACAUUCUUUAGCUUUCUUUUUCCUUUAUGAUGCCAGCUUGUAUUUAAUUAAUCUGAAAAUAUCCUUCGGCUCCGAGGAGAUAUUGAAACAUUACCUGGCAUUGUCAAUAAAUGAAAGAGAAAGAUGGAAAGAUACCACAUUUUAUGAUUGUUUUCGAACCUGAGAAGGUUUGUUGGGAAAAUCAAAAGGAGGGGUGUGGAAGGAGAUGAGAUUAUUGGCCUGUUGCACAAUGCAGCGCAGCACCACAAUGAGGAAGGCACCUUUGAAAGCAUCUAAGAGUUCUAUCAACGACGUGAAGAUCUCCAAGAAAUAUGAUGACUCUGAUGCAUUGUCCACCAUUGUCAGAAGUGUUUCUCUGAAUACAGGUUACCCCAGCCAAACAAUAUUUCAUCUCUUGUCUUUCAUUUUCGAGCUUUUUUUUUCCCCUUUUUGUUUGGCGAUUUAUGUAUCUGAUAGGUUUAAUCUAUACAAAGUAUGUGCAUUUUACACCUGAACAUGGUUUUUGCAAGUGUGCAGAAAAUGUCAAAUGUUACUUUGUGCUCCAGCAUUCUUAACAGACUUAAUAAUGUUUGAUCAAUCCUCUUUUUUGACGUUAAGGCUUGUAGGAAAUAACUGAAUGCAUUAAAAUUGAUCACCUUGUUAAGAACAAGAAGAUUUCAACACAAUUUCCUCACCACACUAGAUUCUUCUUCCCAAAUGCACAAGCGCAAGCCUUUGCAACAUAGAGAUUAUGAGAUUGCAGGAAUAUAAGCUGAUUGUCUUGUUGCUUAAGAUUUAUCUUGUUAUAACCCGUAUUAUACACACGGGUGUGAUGAUCUAUACAGGCCCUAGUAAACAAAGAACAGUAGCUGAGGACAUACUUCGUUAUGGACAUGUUAAAGUUGCAGCAGAGGUAUUCACAUUUCGCGAACUCGCAGCUGCAACGGACAAUUUCAAUUCUGAACUACUGGUGGGAGAAGGAGGAUUUGGAAGGGUCUAUAUGGGACGCCUCAAGAAAACCGAUCAAGUAUCUCUCUCUCUCUCUGUCUCUCUCUCUCUCUCUCACACACACACACACAUAUUUGAAGUAUCAUGACCAUCCUUGUUCCCAUUUAAAGGUUGUUGCAGUCAAGCAACUUGACAGGAAUGGAUUUCAAGGAAAUAGGGAGUUUCUAGCAGAAGUUCUGACACUAAGCCUUGUUCACCACCCAAACCUCGUAAAUCUCAUAGGGUAUUGUGCUGAUGGCCGCCAAAGAAUUUUGGUCUACGAGUACAUGCGUAAUGGAUCACUAGAAGAUCACCUCUUUGGUAAGCACAAUAUUAAGUUCGGGGACAGCGACAUUUCCCAUGGAGAAUGAUCCCAAGAAGCAGUAUCAAUUAUUUGUCAAAACAUACAUUAUUGUUUUGGUUUUAUCCUUCGACAACAUGCUAAUUGGUCAAUAGUAUAAAGAUUGUUUGUGCUUUAUGUCUUACAUUACAUUCUAAUGAUGUUAUCUGUUUUUCAGAUAUUCCUCCACAUAAGAAGCCUCUAGAUUGGUUUACUCGGAUGAAAAUAGCUAAAGGUGCAGCACAAGGACUCGAGUACUUGCACGACACAGCCAACCCACAAAUCAUCUAUCGCGAUCUAAAAGCAUCUAACAUCUUAUUAGAUGAUGAGUUUAAUCCUAAGCUCUCUGAUUUUGGACUUGCUAAGUUAGGUCCAACAGGAGACAAAGAUCAUGUCUCCACCAGGGUAAUGGGGACCUAUGGCUACUGUGCUCCAGAGUAUGCAAUGACAGGCCAACUGACGACGAAAUCUGACAUCUAUAGUUUUGGGGUGGUCUUGUUGGAGAUCAUCACAGGAAGGAGAGCUAUCGAUAAUACAAGGCCUACAGCAGAGCAGAACCUGAUUUCUUGGGUUAGUUUCUGGAUUUGCUAUUUUUGAAUUGACUAAAGAAGCUUCGGCACUUAUUUCUAUAACUUAAAGAACCAGUAACCAAGCCAUCUUUCGUUCUGAGAUACCUUAAUGUUCAUUUGGAUAAUUGGAUGCAAGAUUUUUUUGGGUUCAGUAUUCUGCACUAACAAUUUGAAAGUCAAAAGGCAAAUAUUCUACACGUCUGUCUGCAGGAGUAAUCAUGUCAAUUGGAGUAAUAGCUAUACUAUACUAUGGUACUGAACAAGAAACGUUUCAAUAUAGUUUAUUUGUAUAAAUUUUUAUUGUCAUGUUGAAUACAUGUGCAAGGCAGGUGCAUUUUCCUAGUUCAUGUAAAAUGGGGUAAUAGCUAUACUAUGGUACUUACCAAGAAAUGUUUCCCAACAAUGUAGUUGGUUUUAACAUUCUUUGAUUGUCAUUUAGUUUGCCCAUGAUUUUGUUCUCAUUCUUGCAGGCAAAACCUUAUUUUAAAGAUAGAAGACAAUUUACAUUCCUGGCUGACCCUUUGCUGGAAGGGGAUUACCCUGUAAAGUGUCUUCAUCAAGCUGUUGCUGUUGCGGCUAUGUGCCUCCAAGAUGAAGCUAGCACCAGGCCUUUCAUUGGCGAUGUUGUUACUGCUCUCGAGUAUCUAGCCAUGAGCACAGAUGAAAGCUUCAGCGACGAAGAAGAAGCGAUAGAUUUUCAGUAGACAUAGAAAAUCAUUUGCUGACACUCAUAGAGUCAGAAAAUUAAAUGAGGCCAUAGACAUUCCUAUCCCAUUGAGAAGGUAUCCUUAUAUGAGAAGGUAUCCUUAAUUGACCUAUCCCAUUUUGCAUUUGACAGGAAGAAAAAAGGAAAAAGAGAGAAACAGGAAGAAGAAAAAUGGUAAUUGACGACUUUUGGGAAGUCACAAGUUGUAUAGUACCCUCAAAGGAGGGGGUUAAGAGUGUUUCUAGCCAUUGAGAGACAAAGUAUUAAACAGUUCCCUGUUAUGAAGUCUGUAGGUUAUCAUCUUAUCUGUCAAAAGAUUAGCUAAUGGUUGCUCUAUUUGCAUUGAUGCUUCAGUAUCCUCAUUAGAUAUAAGCACAUGUACCUCAGUACAUUGACAUUUGAACAUUAAAAAGCACAUUUUCUUGAAUCUUCCACCUGCAACCUAUAUCUGUUACUUCACAUAAAGGAAUCCGAACUGGUAAGUUUCUAAAUUCAAUGCAGCAUAAUGUGCCUGCUACAGAACCUUAUACAUGAUCACUUAAACACCUGAAUACAUAAAAAUUCAGAACACAACAAUGUAGUUGUAUUUGUUUGAAAUAAGCCUGGAAACAGUUGUAGGAUAUCAUGCUUUUAACCUUGGAAAUGUGCAGCUUGACAAGCAGAAAUUACACUAGUUAAAUGGAGUUACCCGUGACUGCAUAAACAUGUUUACAUUCAAUUGAUACUUCUAAGUUCCUGUCUAGCGUACAACUAAAUAUCAAAUUACAUGAAGAAAGGGGACAUGAACCAAGUACAUGGUCAAUAUAAAAGUAAUCUUCUCUUUGAUGAACCAAGAGAAAGAAAAAGAGACAGAAAAGGUCCUCUUAGCUAGAGGCAGUGAGGAUCUUGAGGUAGCACUAUUUGGGAUCAGUGCCUUCAGACUCGGAUGGCCAAGCAACAACUGAUCUGGCUUUUGUUAAAGACCACAAAAACCAAUUGCAUAUGUGACAAAUUCCUAAACAGGGACACCAUGUACAAGUGUACAACCAAUUGCCCUCUUCCUGUAAAGGUCCUCAAUCUUUAAGGGAAGCUGUUAUGAGAAAGUAAACGUCAUACAUGAUCCUCAUACCUGCGGAAGGUACUACUCAUCAAUAAAAACAUACCAAGUGAAGUACUUCAGCACGGUACCAUACCAGUGGCUGGAGGUUCAUUACCUGAGGAAUUAUACUGAAGCAUGAAAAAGUUGAGAUAAAGGAACUGAAUCACAGUUUCUGAUAUUCACAGGCAACUUUUUGACGUGUAUCAUUUAAUUUUGAUGCUAAAUAAACAUGGAAAAUCAGGUCCCAUAAGAUAGGAAGUCCAUGAGAAAGAUAGAAUGUUAUCUGAAAACUUUCUCCUGCCUAACAACCUUAUGAAGCAUCAAACUAAUGCUCCAUAAGACUAUGGUACUAGACCUCAAACUCCUUCAUAUCAGCUCUGAGAUUUCUAUAACUGAACCGAGGAAAUUCACCCAAUCGAUGGCUGUCGGAUACUUCCACCAUUGAGCACAUGCCUGGUCGCACACCAGAACCUGUACCUCCUCUUCUUUUCUUCCUCCUCCAUGUCAAAUUCAAGAACCUGAAACUAGGCCAGGAUUUAAUUCCAGUGGAUGUGAAGUCCUGGACAUGUCUCUGAGGUUGUACAGAGCUUCCACAGCAGUCUACUUCCAGUCUUCGGAAAUACUCAAUCUCCUUCUUGAGAAGUGAUCCAACCGUCCCCCUUGUGCCAACUUCAACUGGAGCACCUGUACCCAUUUGUUCAGGCAACUUGCUAGUUAUGUUGCUGACACUAUAUAUCGUUUGUCUGUACACUGCCAUGGCACCAAAGAAUUGGUAUGGAAGAAAGGUUGUUUGAAGCCUUUUAGGUCCUUGUCUUUGAUGAAAGUGUGCUUUUAAGUUUGGAUCACCUCAUCUUUGAUUUGCUUUACUACAUGCUUUAUCCAAAGUGGACAGCAUGGGAAGUAUGAUUAUAAAAGCAGCAGUGGGAAUAUGAUCAUCAUAUAUGUUUGCAAUCAAAGCAAAUAAAAAGUCCUAAC
Molecule: long non-coding RNA, 20481 nt
Filed under: Coffea arabica (coffee)
Lineage: Eukaryota; Viridiplantae; Streptophyta; Magnoliopsida; Gentianales; Rubiaceae
Description: long non-coding RNA (CARA_LNC006166)
Source: RNAcentral